GCGCAGGGAUAACACCCUCCACGUGCUGGGGGUCUGCAGGUACCGCGCGAAUAAGGACCGGCUAAUUCCGUGCCAGCAGCCGCGGUAAUACGGAAGGGCCGGGCGUUAUCCGGAUUUAUUGGGUUUAAAGGGAGCGUAGGCCGUGAGGUAAGCGUGUUGUGAAAUGUAGGCGCCCAACGUCUGCACUGCAGCGCGAACUGCCCCACUUGAGUGCGCGCAACGCCGGCGGAACUCGUCGUGUAGCGGUGAAAUGCUUAGAUAUGACGAAGAACCCCGAUUGCGAAGGCAGCUGGCGGGAGCGUAACUGACGCUGAAGCUCGAAAGCGCGGGUAUCGAACAGGAUUAGAUACCCUGGUAGUCCGCGCGGUAAACGAUGGAUGCCCGCUGUGGCGCGCCUGGCGUGCCGCGGCUAAGCGAAAGCAUUAAGCAUCCCACCUGGGGAGUACGCCGGCAACGGUGAAACUCAAAGGAAUUGACGGGGGCCCGCACAAGCGGAGGAACAUGUGGUUUAAUUCGAUGAUACGCGAGGAACCUUACCCGGGCUUGAACUGCAGGAGAACGAUUCAGAGAUGAUGAGGUCCUUCGGGACUCCUGUGGAGGUGCUGCAUGGUUGUCGUCAGCUCGUGCCGUGAGGUGUCGGCUUAAGUGCCAUAACGAGCGCAACCCCUCUCCGUAGUUGCCAUCGGGUGAUGCCGGGCACUCUGCGGACACUGCCACCGUAAGGUGUGAGGAAGGUGGGGAUGACGUCAAAUCAGCACGGCCCUUACGUCCGGGGCUACACACGUGUUACAAUGGCCGUCACAGAGGGGAGCCGGGCGACCGGCUCAUGAUCCUUAAAAACGGUCUCAGUUCGGACUGGGGUCUGCAACCCGACCCCACGAAGCUGGAUUCGCUAGUAAUCGCGCAUCAGCCAUGGCGCGGUGAAUACGUUCCCGGGCCUUGUACACACCGCCCGUCAAGCCAUGAAAGCCGGGGGCGCCUGAAGUCCGUGACCGCAAGGAUCGGCCUAGGGCGAAACUGGUGAUUGGGGCUAAGUCGUAACAAGGUAGCCGUACCGGAAGGUGCGGCUG
RNAcentral lists this ribosomal RNA (1070 nucleotides) under human gut metagenome. RNAcentral's name for it is "bacterial SSU rRNA". It matches the Rfam family "Bacterial small subunit ribosomal RNA", at positions 438 to 1520 of the family's 1533-position model. The record is from RNAcentral.